UAAGACAAAAGAAGUAACAAAGUCACUUAGAAGAAGUGCAGUUAUGGAGCUGUUCCUGAGCGGUACUGGAUUCCUACCAUAAAGUCAUUGCUCGAGACGCUUUCUUGAACAACAAACCCUGUUAACAACAUAUUCUAUUGUAAUAGUGCUGUUUUGACUUUCUAGAAGUCAGUACUUCUGAAUAAAAACAAAUUAUCAUAA
Amphimedon queenslandica is the source of this 201-nucleotide long non-coding RNA. RefSeq lists it as uncharacterized. The record is from RefSeq and is a predicted model, not a curated record. The transcript has 2 exons. NCBI's taxonomy places the organism in Eukaryota, Metazoa, Porifera, Demospongiae, Haplosclerida, Niphatidae.